UUUUCAAAGCUGCAUUCCUUUUUUUUUUUUUGGCCUCGUUUGACUGAGGAGCACAUGAAUCUUGAAAGGGUGCUGCUAUGACAUCUUUCAUCAAAAAGCUGACAUGAAAAGGAAAAAAGGUACCAGAAAAAUGUUAGUGGUGGGCCCGCUGAUGUCCACAGGCUCUACGUGAAGGACCCCAUGUUUCACACAGUGGUGGAUUGCUCCAGUUCAGUCCAGUUCUAUAGAUCCGGUAGUAAAACCAAUGGGAGGCUCCGCCCACCCAACAUGACGUCAUCAUGCGGAACUGCACAUGUGCAGAAGCUUCUGCGCAUGCAUGCACGGUCCCAUUGCGAACCGGUA
Ahaetulla prasina is the source of this 342-nucleotide long non-coding RNA. RefSeq lists it as uncharacterized. NCBI's taxonomy places the organism in Eukaryota, Metazoa, Chordata, Lepidosauria, Squamata, Colubridae. The transcript has 3 exons. The record is from RefSeq and is a predicted model, not a curated record.